Molecule: ribosomal RNA, 300 nt
Filed under: Sagra femorata
Lineage: Eukaryota; Metazoa; Arthropoda; Insecta; Coleoptera; Chrysomelidae
Description: partial 12S rRNA
Source: RNAcentral
GCUAGUAUUAGUUAUUUUCUUGAAAAUUAUAUAAUUUGGCGGUAUUUCAGUCUAUUCAGAGGAACCUGUCCCGUAAUUGAUAAUCCACGAUUUAUAGCACUUUCUUUAUUAGUUUAUAUAUCGUUGUAGCUUGAGUAUUUUUUAAGAAUUUAAAUUCUCAUAAUUUUAUAUUAGAGGGUAAUUCAAAUCAAGGUGUAGCUUAUAAGGGAGUGGCGAUGGGUUACAUUAAAUUUAUUUUAGGAUGAUUUUUAGUAUAAUAAUUUGAAUUUGGAUUUGAAUGUAAUUUUUACUAGAUAGUAA